UGAGGAAUAUUGGUCAAUGGGCGAGAGCCUGAACCAGCCAAGUCGCGUGAAGGAUGAAGGAUCUAUGGUUCGUAAACUUCUUUUAUAGGGGAAUAAAGUGCAGGACGUGUCCUGUUUUGUAUGUACCCUAUGAAUAAGGAUCGGCUAACUCCGUGCCAGCAGCCGCGGUAAUACGGAGGAUCCGAGCGUUAUCCGGAUUUAUUGGGUUUAAAGGGUGCGUAGGUGGUUUUUUAAGUCAGCGGUGAAAGUUUGUGGCUCAACCAUAAAAUUGCCGUUGAAACUGGAAGACUUGAGUAUGUUUGAGGUAGGCGGAAUGCGUGGUGUAGCGGUGAAAUGCAUAGAUAUCACGCAGAACUCCAAUUGCGAAGGCAGCUUACUAAACCAUAACUGACACUGAAGCACGAAAGCGUGGGGAUCAAACA
This 422-nucleotide ribosomal RNA is filed under the name uncultured bacterium. Its description in RNAcentral is "bacterial SSU rRNA". It matches the Rfam family "Bacterial small subunit ribosomal RNA", at positions 355 to 774 of the family's 1533-position model. The record is from RNAcentral.